GCUCGCUGCUGGAGUCGUCGGGAGCACUGCUGUCCGCCGCUGCCGGCGCCUCCCUCCUCUUCCGGCAGCUUCCUCUUCCCCGGAAAUACUCCGAACUACCUCAAUUCAACCCGCAAGUUAUGUUUUCAACACAAAGUAUGAAUGAGGAAGGUGGAUGGAUGGAAGAUGGAAGAGUUAGAAAUGGAGGGUCUCCAUGGUGAAGAAACCGUCGACCAUGGGGGAGAAGAAGGAGAAGAGAAAAAGUUCUUGGGCUUGUUCCCACAUUUUGGAAUGAAUUGGGCUCCCGUUUGAUUUAAUUGAUUUGGGCUUAUUUAGUUGCAAGCCCAAUUUGUAUAAUUAUUUAGUUGUUAGGCUUUUUGAUUGUUAUGGCCCAAGGCCAUUCUAUAUAAACAGUUGGACUCCCAUUUUAUUUGAGAAGCCCAAGUAUAAAAAUACUUUGCAUUCUCGCA
This is a long non-coding RNA of Salvia splendens (bonfire salvia), 449 nucleotides long. RefSeq lists it as uncharacterized. Lineage: Eukaryota; Viridiplantae; Streptophyta; Magnoliopsida; Lamiales; Lamiaceae. The record is from RefSeq and is a predicted model, not a curated record. The transcript has 2 exons.